CAGCAGCCGCGGUAAUACGAGGGGGGCAAGCGUUGUUCGGAAUUAUUGGGCGUAAAGGGUGCGUAGGCGGUUUGAUAAGUCAUCUGUGAAAUCUCUGGGCUCAACCCAGAGUCUGCAGGCGAAACUGUCGGGCUUGAGUAUGGGAGAGGUGAGUGGAAUUUCCGGUGUAGCGGUGAAAUGCGUAGAUAUCGGAAGGAACACCUGUGGCGAAAGCGGCUCACUGGACCAUAACUGACGCUGAUGCACGAAAGCUAGGGGAGCAAACAGGAUUAGAUACCCCCGUAGUCCCUGUCUCUUAUAC
This 301-nucleotide ribosomal RNA is filed under the name uncultured bacterium. RNAcentral's name for it is "partial 16S ribosomal RNA". It matches the Rfam family "Bacterial small subunit ribosomal RNA", at positions 509 to 807 of the family's 1533-position model. The record is from RNAcentral.